UAACCCUCAAGUGAGAUAGUAAAUUAAUUUCCGUCCACUGUUGUUUUAUCUGAAUUAUAUGUUGUUCAAAUGCCUUUAAUUUUAGAUAUUUUAGAUUAUCAAACAGAGGGAAUAAUUAUUUUAUUUGAGUAUUUGAUUAUCGCAGGCUGAAGCAAUUCUAUUAGCUCUAGGAGGGUAUGGGGAGAUAUGAGGUAUAUCCAGGACACAAAUAUUGGGAAUCAUUCUUAAAUAGAUAUCGCCAAAACAGGAAAGAGUGGAACUUUGAUGAGUUAAUUAGGUUUAAUGUUUUGGAAGUAAGUGGCAGGGAAGUAUGGUUGAGUGAUAUAUUGUAGUUACACUGUAUAGGCACUUGAAUUUUUGUAAGCUGCCUAAAAUGAUUUUGGUUACACUUUGAGGGUUGCUUGAAACAAGGUUCUUGAGUCUAAUGUGACUAAUAGUACUAAGCUUACUCACUCUUGUAUUUUUUUUUCCGUAAUAGUUCUUGCUACUUUGAGUGAUGUAUAUAACUAACAAGUGAUCUCUUUAUUGAUCACAUUUCACCUCCAAAUUCUUAUUUCAGAACUCAAUAGUUGGUUUUUUUCCCGUAAUAGUUCUUGCUACUUUGAGUGAAGGCUGGCAUAAACAAGCAAUUAUCCGACUAUACAGAUAUUAGAGGGAGCGCUGGGUUCUCACUGAAGAAGGAAGAAUCUAUGCUACUGCAGGCUCUCCUGAAGUGCAAGUAUACCCGGCUAUACCACAAGAGGGUAUCUCGCCAGAUGAACUUGAGGUUCUUUCUUCAAUUGCAUAUUAUCAGAAAAUAUUCAAAUAGCAGCUGUUUGACAGAAUCCUGAUCAUAUAGCAGGCUCAGGGUGUGCUGUGAAGAUUUGGUGGAGAUCCACAACUUAAGUCAAUGAUACACUGGGUUUCAGCAUCUCAGGUGAGCUUUACACAAUACCUGUUGAACUGACUUGAGCUGUACCACAAUACCUGUUGAACUGGGU
Long non-coding RNA from Spinacia oleracea (spinach), 980 nucleotides. RefSeq lists it as uncharacterized. The transcript is spliced from 4 exons. The record is from RefSeq and is a predicted model, not a curated record. Lineage: Eukaryota; Viridiplantae; Streptophyta; Magnoliopsida; Caryophyllales; Amaranthaceae.